This 2101-nucleotide long non-coding RNA is filed under the name Olea europaea subsp. europaea. Lineage: Eukaryota; Viridiplantae; Streptophyta; Magnoliopsida; Lamiales; Oleaceae. The record is from RNAcentral.
GAAAAAGAGUUCGAGGAGUUACAUCUUCAAACUUACGUAUUCCAAUCCCUCCCUCCAUCACAGGUCGAUUCACUUUGUCCCACGAACACCAUUUUUUCCUCGUCCUUCCAUUGAUUUCACCCCAAAAGAGGGAUGAAAGAAUGGAAUUUAACUUCCCAAACACAGAUUUGGGAAUACACAACACAGAUAGUAAGUAUAUGGCCAUACUGAAAAGGACGUAACGAAGAAGCACUAACUUGCCACCUUGUGAUAAUAAACACAUCUUCCAACCCGCAAUUUUCUUCUGAAUUUUACCAAUCAGGAACUCUAAAUGUUGAGCACUUAGCCUUCCUUGAACAACUAGCACCCCCAAGUACAACAUAGGAAAUUGACAUUCUUUGAAGUCGGUCUUCCAUGUAGUAAAGCUUUUUUGUUCCGUAGAGCUAGUUUUUGAGGAAAAAUGGCUGAUUUUUCUUUAUUGAUAAGCUGCCCAAACCAGUCUUCAUACAUAUUCAACACCUCCAUUAAUCUUUUCAUUGACCGUUUACUCCCAUUAGCGAAUAUUACAAGAUCAUCUGCAUACAUUAGGUGAGUAACCAAAGGAACACCCCAAGAAUGAGAAAAGCCCCAAAUAUAUCCAGUAUCAAAGUUUUUCUUUAGCAAUCUAGUCAAAACCUCUUGCAUAAUAAUGAAAAGAUAGGAGAGAGGGGGUCACCCUGGCUUAGACCCCGUCUAGACUUGAAAAAACCAUGAGUGGUACCAUUCAUCAUAAUCGAAAACCAAGGCUUUGUUGUGCAUUGAUCAAUCAACUGACAAAAAUGUUCUGGGAAGCCAAAGGUCUGUAAAACUUGCCUCAAGAAACGCCAAUCCACCCUAUCGUAGGCCUUCGCCAUAUCCACCUUAAACAUUACAUUUCCCCCUCGUACCUUUUUGUUUAUAGAUUGUACUAGCUCUUGUGUAAGAGCGAUAUUUUCGAAAAUGCUUCUCCCAGCAAUAAAAGCCCCUUGCUUCGUUGAUAUAAUUCUUGGAAGUAAGGCAACCAUUCGCGACACCAAGAUUUUUGAAAAAAUCUUAUAGACCACAGAGCACAAACUGAUAGGUUUGAAUUUAUCAAACCCAGCUGGUUUCUCCACCUUCGGGAUGAGGACAAUAAAAGAAGCUGUGUAAAAUCUAGUAAGCUCUCAUCUUCCAAAAAAAAUCUUGCGCCGCUUCAAUCACUUCCUUUUUAACAAUAUUCCAACACUUCAUAAAAAAGCAAGACCCAAACCCAUCUGGCCCGGGGGAACUAUCCAUGGGAGCACAAAGAUAUUGACCCUCUACCUGGGUCAUAGUAUUAUCUAUCAAGCUAGAUAAAUUUGGUACUGUCCCCAUGUGUUCUCAGUAAGAAAUUUUUAAAAGCAUCUUACUGCCUCCAUAUGUAUUUGUUGGGGAGAGGAUAGUCGAGUCCCAUUCUCAAGUAACAUUUGAUCCAGCAUCCUGUUUCUGCAAUGUUGAGCAACUACGGCAUGAAAAACUUUUGUAUUGUUAUCCCCCUCCCUUAGCCAACGUUUCUUAGCUACUUGAGCGAGCUUGAUUUCUUCUCGUUUCUGCCAUUUGGCUAGUUCAAUGUUGGACUCCAAAAAAUCUCGCUCCACCUCAUCCGAGAAUUCCUCUUGAAAUGACUCUUCUAGUAACUCCACUCCCUCCUGCAAUUUUGAUAUAAUGUGGUCAACCCUGCCAAAAACUUGUUUGUUCCAUACUUUUAGGGCCGCUUUAGUCCUUUUCAACUUAGCAGCUAGUCUCUGUAGGCCUUCUGGCUCUACAUCCUGGUUGCAAUCUCUCCAAGCUUCCUUAACACACAUCAUGAAGGAUUCAUGUUCACGCCACAUACGUUGGAAGCGGAAAGGUGGGGGACCAUACGAGACAUUGGGCUGCCUAAAAUGUAUAAGCAAUGGGCAAUGAUCAGAUGUCUCCUUUGCUAGCAAUUUCAAUCUCAUAUUUGGAUACAAACUCGUUGCCAUGACAUUAGUUAAAGUCCGGUCAAGUCGAGCCCAACUCCUUGCUAUUCCAUUUUGUCCGUUACACCAAGAGAACCUCCUCCCCUCCGAAUUUAAUUCCAUCCGCCCAUAUCUAUCAAUACAAU